GAUGAAGAACGUAGCGAAAUGCGAUAAGUAGUGUGAAUUGCAGAAUUCAGUGAAUCAUCGAAUCUUUGAACGCACAUUGCGCCCCUUGGUAUUCCAUGGGGCAUGCCUGUUCGAGCGUCAUUUGUACCUUCAAGCUUUGCUUGGUGUUGGGUGUUUGUCCUCCCCUUUUGUGUUUGGACUCGCCUUAAAACAAUUGGCAGCCAGUGUUUUGGUAUAGAAGCGCAGCACAAGUCGCGAUUCUAGCUAAGUAACGCUGACAUCCAGAAGUCUUUUUUAACUUUUGACCUCGGAUCAGGUAGGGAUACCCGCUGAACUUAAGCAUAUCAAUAAGCGGAGGA
RNAcentral lists this unclassified non-coding RNA (338 nucleotides) under soil metagenome. RNAcentral's name for it is "partial contains 5.8S ribosomal RNA, internal transcribed spacer 2, and large subunit ribosomal RNA". The stretch from base 1 to 120 matches the Rfam family "5.8S ribosomal RNA", at positions 35 to 154 of the family's 154-position model. The record is from RNAcentral.